AUUGGACGCUGGCGGCAGGCCUAACACAUGCAAGUCGAGCGAGCGGCGGACGGGUGAGUAAUGUCUGGGAAACUGCCUGAUGGAGGGGGAUAACUACUGGAAACGGUAGCUAAUACCGCAUACCAUCAGAGGUGCCCAGAUGGGAUUAGUUAGUAGGUGGGGUAACGGCUCACCUGGGCGCCGAUCCCUAGCUGGUUUGAGAGGAUGACCAGCCACACGGGAACUGAGACACGGUCCAGACUCCGACGGGAGGCAGCAGUGGGGAGUAUGGCACAAUGGGCGCAAGCCUGAGGCAGCCAUGCCGCGUGUGUGAAGAAGGCCUUCGGGUUGUAAAGCACUUUCAGCGGGGAGGCGUUACCCGCAGAAGAAGCACCGGCUAACUCCGUGCCAGCAGCCGCGGUAAUUC
This 406-nucleotide ribosomal RNA is filed under the name uncultured bacterium. Its description in RNAcentral is "partial 16S ribosomal RNA". It matches the Rfam family "Bacterial small subunit ribosomal RNA", at positions 29 to 526 of the family's 1533-position model. The record is from RNAcentral.